UCUUCAUAACCUCAGUGCAGCUCUUUCUGCCCAGGGGUCCUGUCUCUGCGCUUUAAUAAAACCACCUCUUUGCACCAAAGACCUCUUGAGAAUUCUUUCUUGGCCAUCAGCUCCAGACCCCCACCACUCCUGAACAACCACACCAUUUGGCAACCAAUGUGGGGCUUUGAGUCUUCAUCAGGACUCAGCUUUGGCGCAAACUUGCUGCUUCUGGCAGCGGAAUCUCCACUGAGAGCCAGCCAAAACUAUUACACAAUGGAAUUAAAACCCAACUAGGACCAUUUCCUAUCAAGUUGGCUGUAAGGACUACAUUCUAAGCAAUGUCGCUUAGAUCAUGGAGGUUGAGGCAUGUUGUCCACAUUGGAUUCAGCUGCCUCCGCCUUCGUAACUUCUCUACACCUUCCCCGACUGACCAAUAUUGACCCAUAGGUAGGGACAACUCUACACCCCUACUCAGCAGGAAGAAGCUACAGAAGAUGAGACCUUCCACCUUCAGCAACUGUAAAGACUUAAGGGUCAAAAUUAUGCAGGGGGGAUAUGAUGAGGGAGCAUAAGGCAGGCUGAGGGCAAAGCACCCCCACCCCAGGUGGGACAGGGGUGAUAUUCCUCAGGUAGUCCUGGCUGCCCCAGAACAAAGGAAAGGACAGAAAACAAAUGGUUGAACUGAUAGCGAUCACAGGACCCGAGUCUCCAUCAGUUUACAAAUAGCUUAGUAAAUGACAAGAAAAAGGCAAUCUUGUCAAUAGCUUAAUCUCCAGAAGCCUAUAGCCCCAACACCACCCUCCCCUCUGUAGUGAUGUGCGGAACAAAGGCAAGAAGGAAAUGGCAGGUAAAGUUGAAUUUGCUUAUAACCUGCUGCGCGCGGGACCUAUCCCUGGGCUUUAAUAAAACCACCUUUUUGCACCAAAGACGUCUCAACAAUUCUUUCUUGGCCGUCGGCUCCAGAUCCCCACCACUCCAAACACCACAUCACAGAGAGCACAGACGGCCUCGAAUAUGAAUCUGGGUUCUCUCUUAGUUACUCACAAGCUGUAUGACCCUGGGUGAGUGACUUCACUGCCCUGAGCCCAAAUCACAGCUUGGUCUGGAGAGCUGUGGAGAGGGUAAAUUGGGAUGUAGAUUAUACACAUACAGAAUGUCUUCCCUCUGCAGGAGUCCCAGGUCUGCUCCCUCCGUGACUCCUCCAUAGCCCCAGGCCACAGGAGAGGCCACCUGCCGGUUGAGACUGAAUUCUGGUAUUGUCCUGAGUAUCUGAAACCUUUUGUCUAUCCCUGUGCCUCCAGACUGCUCCUCACCUUGCCCUAAGCAGGUGGCGGGUUGGCUGAGUGGGAGUGGAGAAUCCCUAACCUGAAUAGGGCUGUAGGGGAGGCCAGUCUGUCCUGUCUUACUGUACCUUUCCACCAACCCGGCCCCAGCAAUCCUGCAACCUGAUUCUGUCCAAAGCUCUCUGCUGUCCCUGCAGAGGGCACCGAGGGUCUCUCUCACACAGACCUCACUGGCUCCAGGAGUAUCUCGUGGGCGAACAGCCCAGGCCAUGCUGUUUUACACCUUGCAAGUGGGGUCAUCGGCUCUCCAUCCUGCCCCCACAAACCCAUAUUCCAACCACAGAGAAGCUUCUGUUCUCUAAACUCCACCACGGUUCUGCAUCUUUGCCCCGGCUGUGUUUCCAUCCUGAAACACUCUCCCUGCCUUCUUAUCCAGGCACACAUCAAUCAUCGCCAGAACCACGGAAAUAUGGAUCGAGCGUCUCCUGUGUGCCCUCUGGGGUGGGGAAGGGUGAGAGCACAGAGAGCCUGAGGCUCUAGGUAGACAGACAACCAGCAAGUCCUUCUGACCCACAACCUGCACCCUCCUACACGAACACCUAUACACACACACCCCCCCCUCCAGGUCUUAACAUGCUCUUCUCUCUGCUACUGAUCGUCCCUUCAGCACCUGGUGACCACAUUAGACGCGACUUGCCGGGUUUAGCUCACAUGUCACUUUCUCCAGCAGCCCUUGUCCCAAGCUCCUCAUUCUCUCCUGUCACCUGGUGCCACUGGGGUUGGACUUCCCCACAGGGCACUCAGAAAGCGUGUUAGAAUUCUGGCUGGCUCU
This is a long non-coding RNA of Leopardus geoffroyi (Geoffroy's cat), 2097 nucleotides long. RefSeq lists it as uncharacterized. Lineage: Eukaryota; Metazoa; Chordata; Mammalia; Carnivora; Felidae. The transcript has 3 exons. The record is from RefSeq and is a predicted model, not a curated record.